UAGUCCACGCCGUAAACGAUGAUCACUCGCUGUGUGCGAUAUAUAGUACGCGGCUGAGCGAAAGCAUUAAGUGAUCCACCUGGGGAGUACUGUCGCAAGAUUGAAACUCAAAGGAAUUGACGGGGGCCCGCACAAGCGGAGGAACAUGUGGUUUAAUUCGAUGAUACGCGAGGAACCUUACCUGGGCUUAAAUGUAGAGUGCUUUUCACCGAAAGGUGAUUUUCCUUCGGGACGCUUUACAAGGUGCUGCAUGGUUGUCGUCAGCUCGUGCCGUGAGGUGUCGGGUUAAGUCCCAUAACGAGCGCAACCCUUACCGUUAGUUGCCAUCGGGUCAUGCCGGGGACUCUAGCGGGACUGUCAGUGUAAACUGUGAGGAAGGUGGGGAUGACGUCAAAUCAGCACGGCCCUUAUGCCCAGGGCUACACACGUGUUACAAUGGCCGGUACAGAGGGCCGCUACUACGCAAGUAGGAGCCAAUCCCCAAAGCCGGUCCCAGUUCGGAUCGAAGU
Molecule: ribosomal RNA, 509 nt
Filed under: uncultured bacterium
Lineage: Bacteria
Description: bacterial SSU rRNA
Rfam family: Bacterial small subunit ribosomal RNA
Source: RNAcentral